This 348-nucleotide transfer-messenger RNA is filed under the name bovine gut metagenome. It matches the Rfam family "transfer-messenger RNA". From Rfam's summary of the family: Bacterial tmRNA, also known as 10Sa RNA or SsrA, is named for its dual tRNA and mRNA-like properties. Its role is to liberate the mRNA from a stalled ribosome. To accomplish this part of the tmRNA is used as a reading frame that ends in a translation stop signal. The record is from RNAcentral.
GGGGGCGUAAUGGUUUCGACGGGGACCUUGAGGCAGGUUAAGCGAGCAGAGGCGUCGGCCCUCUAUAAAACCGGCAAACCUUAAAAAUAACUGAGAACAACAAUUCUCUUCCGGUAGCCGCGUAAGGCUGCCCGUCCCGUCCCGAAGGGCCACGAGCGGGAACGGGGCGUCGAUCAGUGGCGUCCGUGAGCGCGCAAAGCUUUGAGCGCGCCAUGCAUAAUGAAGCUACCCGGCCCCGCAGUCUGACGACCGCCUGCCUCGCCGGGGAAUCUUAAAGAUCGUCUGCGCUCGGAGAAAGACCUGAGGAGAGAUUUUCGGACAGGGGUUCGAUUCCCCUCGCCUCCACCA